GCUUGUCUCAAAGAUUAAGCCAUGCAUGUCUAAGUAUGAAUGUUAUACAGUGAAACUGCGAAUGGCUCAUUAAAACAGUUAUUGUUUAUUUGAUAAUCAAAUUUACAUGGAUAACCGUGGUAAUUCUAGAGCUAAUACAUGCUGAUAUGCCUGACUCUUAGGAAGGGCUGUAUUUAUUAGAUAACAAACCAAUAUUCCUCGUGUCUAUUGUGAUGACUCAUAAUAACUGAUCGAAUCGCAUGGACUUUGUCCGCGAUACAUCAUUCAAGUUUCUGCCCCAUCAGCUUUCGAUGGUAGUGUAUUGGACUACCAUGGCUUUAACGGGUAACGGAGGAUUAGGGUUCGAUUCCGGAGAGGGAGCCUGAGAAACGGCUACCACAUCUAAGGAAGGCAGCAGGCGCGUAAAUUACCCAAUCCUAAUUCAGGGAGGUAGUGACAAGAAAUAACGGACUGAGGCCUACGCUUCAGGAUUGCAAUGAGUAGAAUUAAACCCCUUGCGAG
RNAcentral lists this ribosomal RNA (501 nucleotides) under Tardigrada environmental sample. Its description in RNAcentral is "SSU rRNA". It matches the Rfam family "Eukaryotic small subunit ribosomal RNA", at positions 30 to 541 of the family's 1831-position model. Lineage: Eukaryota; Metazoa; Tardigrada. The record is from RNAcentral.